GGGCGAAAAAUUUCAAAAUUGAGCUUGCAGACGUCAGUUUAAUUAAUCUAACUUUCGCAUAGUUCAACCUUGAUAACUUGUUUUAUUUUUAUUUAUUUAUUUAUUUAUUUAUUUAUACUAUUUUUUCGGUCACAUUCUGAUCAGCCUGAACCGUUUAACUGGUCAUUUUUUUAUUUCAAAAUUUGAUUUAAACAUGUCCGUUUUCGAGAAGUUUAUUUCGCACUAAUAAUUUUGGUGCAUUCACUUUAUUUUAUUUUUAUUUUGUGCCCAAUUUUUGUUCAUUUUUUAUCCGAUUAUUUUUUCCUUUUUAGCAAAUAUAAUUAGUAGGUUUAUUUAGAAUUAAUCAUGUUCGUUUUAAUCUUUUAAUUUUAUUAUAUUUAUAUACUUUGUUUUUAAGCUUUUUGUAAGAAAUAUAUAAUUUUAUUUUAAAAAUUUUAAUUUUAUUAUAUUUAUAUACUUUGUUUUUUAAAACUUUUUGUAAAAAAUAUAUAAUUUUUUAUUUUUAAUUUUUUAAUUUUAUUACAUUCAUAUAUUUUAUUUUUUAAAGAUUUUUCUUAAAUAAAGAAUUUUAU
Molecule: long non-coding RNA, 572 nt
Filed under: Lathyrus oleraceus (garden pea)
Lineage: Eukaryota; Viridiplantae; Streptophyta; Magnoliopsida; Fabales; Fabaceae
Description: Pisum sativum (pea) long non-coding RNA (PSAT_LNC038758)
Source: RNAcentral